This is a long non-coding RNA of Lynx canadensis (Canada lynx), 1062 nucleotides long. RefSeq lists it as uncharacterized. The record is from RefSeq and is a predicted model, not a curated record. Lineage: Eukaryota; Metazoa; Chordata; Mammalia; Carnivora; Felidae. The transcript is spliced from 2 exons.
GAGAACUUUAUGUAUGCUGACAGUAAGCUCCUAGCCUGUUUCAAACUCCUUGAAAAAUAAAACACAGAAAAGCUCCUUGAAGCAUACUUGGGAAAUAUAUAACUACUAAGUGUAAUUAGAUCCUGCCUACUUUAUUUACUCUACAGUUUUGAAGAAGAUAAAAGUACACACAUACACCCUUCAUUGUAAUGACUUAGCAUUGAACUUCUUAUUUCAUUGUGGAUUUUCUCUGUGUGAUGGGUUGUUCCACACAAGUUAGCAGUAUUUUUCGUGUAAUGAAAUGUUGGUUGAAUUGAAAUACCACUUCUAAGAAUCUUUUUCUAAUAUAGUUUGUAUUUUAUAUCAGGCUGCUGCUUCUUUUUUUAUUUUUUUCUUUUCUUUUUUUUUUUUUUUUCUGUAUUUAUGUGUAAGCAGGGGGAGUGUUGAGAGAGGGGGAGUUGGAAAAUCCCACUGGGGCUUCAUCUCACAACCACAGUAUCAAGAGCUAAGCUCUUAUCAGGAGUCAGAGGCUUAACCAACUGAGCCCCCCAAGUGCCCCAGACUUGUUUCUUUUUAUAGACAGUUUAUCUAAUAACAUCAUGAAUAUAUGUAUAUGAGUAUAUUAAUUAUUGUCUUCAGCUAAAAUCAAUGAAACAGAUACGUUUGGUCCUGGAGAUAAUGAUGAAAUCCAGUUUGAUGAUAUUGGAGAUGACGAUGAAGACAUUGAUGAUAUCUAAAUUGAACAUGGUUUCUGAGGUUUGUUCUGCAAUUUGGAUUUUGGCUAUCACCUGUUAAAAGAAGACUAAAACAUCAUUUAGUAUGAAUGUAUUUGGUUAAGACAUGCUGAUUUAUUUUCAUUGUUUAAAAGUAUUAUAUUUCUCUAAAAACUGAUUUAGCUGAAUUAUUUAAGUGAAAUUUUAUUGUUUGGAUAUAAUGGAACUUAGGGGGCAAAGACUAUAAUACCUGCUGUUAAACAGUAGAGAGAAACGAAGAAGAAAUGUCUUUUCCACUGUGACUAUUUUAUUCUAGUUAAUAGGUGUUUUGAAUAAAUUGCCUUACCAUCAUAGGUUUCGGUAAACCAUG